UUUCGCCUGAGAACUACUAGCCACAGCUUAAAACUCAAAGGACUUGGCGGUGCUUUAUACCCACCUAGAGGAGCCUGUUCUAUAAUCGAUAAACCCCGAUACACCUCACCACUUCUUGCUAAUACAGCCUAUAUACCGCCAUCAUCAGCAAACA
This 154-nucleotide ribosomal RNA is filed under the name Kerodon rupestris (Rock cavy). RNAcentral's name for it is "partial small subunit ribosomal RNA". Lineage: Eukaryota; Metazoa; Chordata; Mammalia; Rodentia; Caviidae. The record is from RNAcentral.